UGGAAUGAGACUGAAUGUUGCUCUUCAUCC
RNAcentral lists this non-coding RNA (30 nucleotides) under Mus musculus (house mouse). Lineage: Eukaryota; Metazoa; Chordata; Mammalia; Rodentia; Muridae. The record is from RNAcentral.